AUUGAACGCUGGCGGCAUGCUUUACACAUGCAAAUCGAACGGCAGCGCGGGCUUCGGCCUGGCGGCGAGUGGCGAACGGGUGAGUAAUGCAUCGGAACGUGCCCAGUAGUGGGGGAUAGCCCGGCGAAAGCCGGAUUAAUACCGCAUACGACCUGAGGGUGAAAGCGGGGGACCGAAAGGCCUCGCGCUAUUGGAGCGGCCGAUGUCGGAUUAGCUAGUUGGUGGGGUAAAGGCUUACCAAGGCGACGAUCCGUAGUUGGUCUGAGAGGACGACCAGCCACACUGGGACUGAGACACGGCCCAGACUCCUACGGGAGGCAGCAGUGGGGAAUUUUGGACAAUGGGGGCAACCCUGAUCCAGCCAUGCCGCGUGCGGGAAGAAGGCCUUCGGGUUGUAAACCGCUUUUGUUCGGGAAGAAAUCCUCUGGGCUAAUACCCCGGGGGGAUGACGGUACCGGAAGAAUAAGCACCGGCUAACUACGUG
RNAcentral lists this ribosomal RNA (484 nucleotides) under uncultured bacterium. RNAcentral's name for it is "partial 16S ribosomal RNA". It matches the Rfam family "Bacterial small subunit ribosomal RNA", at positions 29 to 507 of the family's 1533-position model. The record is from RNAcentral.